UACAGAGGGUGCGAGCGUUAAUCGGAAUUACUGGGCGUAAAGCGCGCGUAGGUGGCUUUGCAAGUCGAGUGUGAAAUCCCCAGGCUUAACCUGGGAACUGCAUUCGAGACUACAUAGCUAGAGUAUGGGAGAGGGAAGUGGAAUUUCAGGUGUAGCGGUGAAAUGCGUAGAUAUCUGAAGGAACAUCAGUGGCGAAAGCGACUUCCUGGACCAAUACUGACGCUCAUGUGCGAAAGCGUGGGGAGCAAACAGG
This 253-nucleotide ribosomal RNA is filed under the name uncultured bacterium. Its description in RNAcentral is "partial 16S ribosomal RNA". It matches the Rfam family "Bacterial small subunit ribosomal RNA", at positions 524 to 776 of the family's 1533-position model. The record is from RNAcentral.